UCAUAAAUACAUUUGUUUAAAAAUGGCGAUGAUAGGCUUACUUGAAGUCUUCGCAGCAUUCUUUUUUUUCCUAGUAUUCAAACAUUUCUUUCUCCCCAAGAAAUCUCCCGGCCAGCCUAUUCUCAAAAGCUGGCCUGUCCUCGGGAUGCUUCCAGGAAUGCUCCCCCAUAUCCCUCGUAUCUUCGAGUGGACGUUCGAAGUUCUUGAGGCCACCAACUUAACUUUUUUUUUCAAAGGCCCAUGGCUUAGUGGAACGGACAUGCUAUUCACGGCCGACCCAAGGAAUAUCCAUCACAUACUAAGCUUAAACUUUGGGAAUUACCCCAAAGGACCUGAGUUCAAGAAGAUCUUCGAUGUUUUGGGAGACGGGAUCUUAAGUGCUGAUCUGGAGCUGUGGGAGGAUCUGAGGAAGUCAAAUCACGCCAUCUUUCAUCAUCCAGAUUUCUUGAAGCUCUCAGCAAGUAGCAAUACAAUCAAGUUAAAGGAAGGUCUUGUUCCUUUUCUUGAUAAUGCUGCUCAUGAAAACAUUGUCAUAGACUUACAAGAUGUAUUCAAGAGAUUCAUGUUUGAUACUUCUUCGAUUUCGUUGACUGGUUUCGACCCAAUGUCACUAUCCACCGAGAUGCCCGAAGUUGAGUACGGUGAAGCUACGGAAACCGGUGAAGAAGCGAUCUAUUAUAGGCAUUUCAAACCGGUCAUCUUGUGGAGGCUUCAAAACUGGUUGGGUAUUGGACUCGAGAGGAAGAUGAAGUCUUCCUUGGUGACUGUCAACCGUAUGUUUGCGAAGAUCAUAUCCACAAGAAGAGAGGAGAUAAGUCGCGGCGAAGGCGAGCAAUUAAUGGACGCGCUAACGUAUUAUAUAAAUGUGGACACGACAAAAUAUAAGCUCUUGAAACCUAGUAAUGAUACGUUUAUACGAGACGUUGCUUUCAGUUUAUUGUUGGCAGGAAGGGACACAACAAGUUCAGUUCUCACUUGGUUCUUCUGGCUUCUUUCUAAGCAUCCUCAUGUAAUGACCAAAAUCCGACAAGAGAUCAACACAAAGUUUGAUCCGACAGAUCUAGAGAAGCUCGUGUAUCUACAUGCUACGUUGAACGAAACAAUGAGACUUUACCCACCGGUUCCCUUCAACCACAAGUCUCCUUUAAAGUCAGAUGUGCUUCCAAGCGGCCACAAAGUUAAAGCAGAAUCAAAGAUUGUGAUCUGUAUCUACGCAUUGGGUAGAAUGAGAUCUGUAUGGGGAGAAGACGCAUUGGAUUUUAAACCGGAGAGAUGGAUUUCAGAAAGUGGAGAGCUAAAACAUGAACCUUCAUACAAGUUCAUGGCUUUUAAUGCUGGUCCGAGAGCUUGCUUGGGUAAACAUUUGGCUCUCCCGCAGAUGAAAAUAGUAGCUGUAGAGAUCAUACAAAACUAUGACUUUAAGGUCACUGAAGGUCACAAGAUUGAAGCAGUGCCUUCUAUCGUUCUCCGUAUGAAAAAUGGUCUUAGUGUCACAGUCACUAAGAAGAUGUGAUUCUUAUUGAUAAUUGGAUUACUAGUAUUUAUGUGUUUGUUCGGCGCAAAUGUCAUCUAAAGUAUUAUUUGUAGUUGUGUUAUUUGUAUUAUUUAUAAGUGUGUCUCUAUUUCUAUUACUAUGUUUGUUCCCCGCAAAUAUGAUUUUAAAAAUAUUAAAUAAAAUAUAAAAUUUAUAAUUGAUAUUGCCAAAGUUAAGUACAUAUUUUACUUUGGUUUCUGUCCAGAUUAGCUUUUAGGAUUGAACUAGAGAAUAAACCAUUAAAAGAAUUAUAAAAAUGAAAAAGAAAAGAACGAAGAUUACAAAAUUAUCGGAAGAAAAUAUAUGUUAUUUAUUGUUCAUUUUCAAAUUUGAUGAUGAAUAGUAUGAAUUAUAUUUUGAUCUUAUGCUUUCAAAAUGCGAGAUUAUUAUUUUAUUACAAAACAUAUAUAAUAGAAAUUAUAAUUAAUUUAAAUAAUUUUUAUUUUAUUUUUUUGUAUAGCUUAUGUUUAAUUUAGGUACAUAACUUCUUUUCGUUAUUUUAAAUUUGGAUUUUGAAAAAAAACAUUUAGAUCCACGGUCUACGAAUAUUUUGAUUAUAAAUAGUUGAUUCAAAGUGUUUUUUCAGUUAUUUUACAGCUGUAGUUACCAUGAAGAGAAAAUAGUAUUUGUUAUUUAUUAUUUGGCAAAACUCUCAAAUAGCCUUUUCUAAAUUUUGAUUAGAAAUAGUUGAUUCAAAGUGUUUAUUCAGUUAUUUUACAGCUGUAGUUACCAUGAAGAGAAAAUAGUAUUGGUUAUUUAUUAUUUGGCAAAACUCUCAAAUAGCCUUUUCUAAAUUUUUGUUACAAAAUAACUCUCAAGAAAGAAAUAACCAAAAUAUCUUUUUUUAUUUUGAAAGUUUUAAUAUUUAUUUAUUUUUAAAAAAAAAAUUUGAAACCAUAUCUCCAAAAUCUCACCCCUUAACACUAACUCUAAAUAUAUAUUAGUUAACUCUAGGGUAAAAAUGUAUUUUUAUUCUUUAAUAAAACUUAUUUUGAUCAUUAUCUUCAUUGAGAGCUAUUUUUGUGACAAAAACUUAAAAAAUAAUAUCCUAAAAAAAUUCUUUAUUAUUCAUUCUCUAAAUUGAUGAGAAAUAUAAUGAACAUGGUUGUGUUACCAUGAAGUCUUACAGUGGAGUUUUUGAAGAGUUUGUCAUAUAUUCCUCGAUGAUAUAGCAAGGAGAAAAGACAUUGGUCUCAGGCUCCGCAUUUUUCAUCAAAUUGUUUUUUUUUUCUAAAAAGUUUUCAUAUAUUAUUUUUGUCUUUUUUUUCGACUUACAACAACUAGAAAUUAAAAAGAAACUAAAAAUUAAAAAUAGAACCACCAAGGUGAGCACAGGUUUACCAAAAUUGGGAUUGGAUCUUGAAACCCUAAAUCCACGGUAGAGAGAACAAAAGUGAUGAUGGCCACCGCUGAAUAGAAACCGCCUGAACAUUCCUUCGAAUAAGCAGUACGUCGACUGUAAAUCCUUUUUCAUCAAAAUAUAAACCGCCAGAAUACAUUAGUUUAUAUGUGUAAUACUAUUUUAUAUAUUUUCCUCUUUGAAAUUCUUUUAAUGUUUACAUCAUUUACUAAUUCAUUUUCUAUAUUCAUUUUAUACUUUAAACUAUUUCAGAUUAUAAAUUUACUACACAAUAUAGAUAUAGUAAAAAUAUGCUAAUUAUCAUAAAUUUAUAUGUAUAUUUAAAUAAUUCUAGUGGAGUUUUUUUAUAAAACAGGAAAUGAUAUGAUGAAUGAUAUUAUCAUAUCUUCAUAAAUAAUAAAAUAUUGUGAUAUAUAUUUUAUAUAAAAAAUAUAUACUGUAUUUAUAACUUCAGUCAUUUUGUUUUUAUAUUAAAAGUUUGUUUUUCAAAAAUAGCCUUUUGGCCAAAAGAAGCCUGAGCACGGCACUGUCGACGACGCAACGAUAUAUAAAUGACCUGAUGAGGUGAAGUGCUGGAAAUAAGACGUCAGUCUUGAAGGUACAGGUUCCAUCCAUAAUGAUUUCAGAAAGGCUAGUUUUGCCAUGGUCAUAAAACGAGAGGAUAUCAAGGAACUUGGCUUUUGCAUAUAGCAUUUCAGCAACUAUAAACCUUGCAUGCAGGAGUGUCAAAAUGAGCUAUAGCUCAUUAUCUAACUCAGCUCAGCUCGUUUAAUUAUGAACACGAUCUCUAUAUUUUAAGCUCAUUAAAUGAGUUUAGUGAUCGAGCUUAAAUUAGAUAAUGAGUUAUAUGAACAAUCUUUAAUGAACAUGAACUGGCUCAUAAGCUUGUUCAUUUUUAUACUUACAAUUAUAUGUAAUAUAUUUAUAUAUACUAUAUUUGGAUAACUUCUAUUUUUGUAUGUAGAAAAUAGAUAAUUUCUAUGUUUAUCAUAUCUGCCUUCUAAAAUUAAAAUGUCAAACCAAAUCUUAUAAAAAGAUAAUAUCUAUAUUAAUUAUAUUUAUCUUCUAAAAUUAAAAUGUAAAACAUACAUAUAAGACAUUGAAGAUAAAUUGUCUUAAGACUCUCACGAAGAAUAGGGAUUUAGAUCAUUGGUUUUGCUUUAAUUUAAUUUAUAUUAGGUGUUGUCUUUUAAUUUUUGUCUUGUAUUGGUUUUUAUUUAGUGUUUAAUAUUUAUGUUUUAGAUUUUUUAAUAUUUAAAUUUUGAACAAUAAUAUAGAAGUUAUUCUGUCACAAUUUUAUUUUAUAAUUAUUAUUUUUAUUUAGAUCACGAGUUAGCUCAUUUAACUCAUGAUCUAUAGAUGAUAUGAGUUCGAGUUUACAUAUUGAAGCUCAUAUAAUAAAUGAGUUGAGCUGAGCUAGCUCAUGAAAGAACCGAGCUCACUAUGAGCUUAGCUGAGUUGAGCGAGCUAGCUCAUUUUGACACCCCUACUUGCAUGUGGUAUAGGUUUUUAGAGAGGUUUUUUAAACCGGGAGGAUUUGAUACAUGGACUAUUGAAGCCACAUCAGGACACAUCAUAUGAAAGAGAGAGAGAGAGAGAGAGAGAGAGAGAGAGAGAGAGAGAGAGAGAGAGAGAGAGAGAGAGAGAGAUCUAUUUAUCUAUACCUAUAUUAUCUCUGCAAAGUGAUUUUCGAUCCAAGCUCUCACGUUAAAAUUUAGUUUAGUUAAAGUAUUGUUAUUUCUAGUAAAUAACUAAAUUUAUUAAUAGUCUUAUAUUAUUAAUUAUAAAAUUAAUAUAAUAAUAAUUGGCCAAAAAUUGAAAAUGAAUUUUGAAUUCAUUAGAUUAGAUAAUUGAUAUCAAAAACAACCAAAAAUAAAAAAAAAAUCUUUUAUAAUUUAAAAGAUAAUUACUAUUUUUUUUUGUUAUCCAAAAUAAAAUAUUUUAUUCAUAAAAUAAAAUAUUAAAAACAGAAAGAUGCAUGAUUAAAUAUUUAUCAAGUAAAAAUUAUAACACUAUAUAAUACAACAGUGAAUACUGAGUGAUUUUAAUUUUUUAUUAAUAAUGAAUGUAGCGUAUAAAGAAUUUUUUAAAAUAUUUAUAAUAUGUGAUUGCUUUUUAAAAAUGCAAUAAUGAUUAUAUAUUUUGAUAUUUUUAUAUAUAAAUAAUAUUAUUUUUGCUUAAACUUUUUAAAAACAAAAAGAAUUAUCAUGAUAGUGGUUGAAUUAGUAAAGCAUAUACUAAUAAGUAACUGUGAGAUGGUAUUCUCGCAUAGAUGGACAAAACACAUAGUAAGAAUAUAAACAAGUACUCUUUCAUUCUAAAAUCAUGGAAUAGUUUGUUAUUCUUCUUUCUCUAGACUGAAAUUUCCUUCUCCUUUGUGAUUGCUAGGAGAAUCUAAACUAUUAAAACUGAAGUACAUUUUGAAUUUAACCCUGACUUUUUUCAACAAUAAUUAUUAUUGCAUGCCACUGACUUAGACCAUUCGUAUUAAAUUAUCAAACCACCUCAAUUUAAUUUAUUUAUUAAUAGAUCAUCAUUAAUAACCUUAACAUAUCAUAACUUUUUACAACAUUUGAAAAAUCUCCAAAUAUCCAAUCUAUGCUUCAUGCAUCAUGCCUACCAUUGAGUGCUCCAUUAUUGAUCCAUUGUUCAAAAACACGGGCUAGGAAGCCCGCUAAUCACCGGAAACACGCAAAUCAGACUACAUCCUCGGCGGAUUGAUGAUAAUAGGCCAGUAAAUCGGAAGAUGAAAGUACUCAAUGUUUUCAUGGUUUUAAUGUUUAAUAUCGCACAUGUGUCUUAGAUUUGAUGUAAUCUCUUUAAAACUUACAAGAAUAAUGAGAAAAUCUGUGAAACCGAGAAUAAAAAUAAAAGAGCGGCUGGAGGUUACACAGAAAUCGCAGUGGAAGGUUGAAGAUAAGGUUAAUUUUGUCAUUUCCUAAAUCAUUUAACCUAAAUUUUUUUUAAAAAAAUUGAUAAAUUGGGCGCAAAUGCACAUUUAAACCCGGGUCUGUUCGUAUUUAGUCAAUGCCUCUAACCACUAGACUAUGUCACAACAACACAAAACAAGCACAUGAUUAAUAUAUAUACCCAUCUCAGAUUAAUUAAUUGAUUUGCACUAGACCCUACCCGACCGCACACAUUGCGCCUAACAAAAUAUAAUUCUUAUUUAUAGGUAUGCAAUUAACAAAGUGUAAAUUAUAUACAAAGAUUCCUAUUAACAACCUUAGUCAGUAAUGCUUUCAUAUUAUCUUUUUUCGCGACUCACCAUUAUUUUGAAUUCCUUUUUGGUUAAAAUUUUGUAUAAAUACAAUGUAAUUGCACAUACUAGGAAUAUCCAAGCACAUGUGUGUGAUUAAAAGCCUUAUGAUAUGUUAUAUAUUAAUUUAUUUUUAUAUUUUGAAAAAAUUAAAGUAUAUUAUAGAAUUUAUAUAUUAUAUAUUAAAUUGUUUUAUACAUUUUGAGAAAAUUAAAGUAUAUAUGAAUUUUAAACCCUUCAAAAAUAAUUUAAACGAAUUAUCUGAAUCCGAACCGAACCUGGACUGAAAUUUAUAAAUACAUGAAUAUGGUUGAAAUCUUCAAACUCAAAAAUUUGAAAUCCAUAUAGAUCCGAACCAAACCCAAAUGGAUACCUGAAUCUGAAUAAAUACAAGCAUCCUAUAGAUACAUUUGAAAAAGAUAACCAAUUAUAUUUGAUUUAUAAAAAAAAAAUGUCCGAUUAGGUUUUGUUUGUUCAUUAGGUUUGAAGAUCAUUCUUAAAUCAAGAUCUUCUACAUCUGAGCUACAAAUCAUUGUUUUAUGAAUGGUGAUUCGAUUCAAUAGUGGAAUCAUACGGAUUAAAGCUAUCAUUCAGACAAUUCAGCGUGGUGUAGAAAAACCAGCUUCUCUAGAUCAGUAGGAUAAAAAUUUGUGUCGGUUUCAUGUCGGAUCUUGGUCAUAACUUGAGGAUGUUUAGAGAGAAGCCAGAAGAACCAAGUGAAUGAUGAGCUUGUAGUAUCCCUUAAAGCUAACAAAUCAUGCUUAGGAGUAAAAAUGCUUAUGAUAAGAUAAAUUUUGAUUGGAAGAAACAACCUCAUUUUCAAAAUAUAAAUGCAAUUUGAUCUUAUUAUAUAUAUAUAUAUAUAUAUAUAUAUUAUUUGAAACAUUCAUGCCUUUUUUUGAACAACCAAAUGCUUAUAUUAAAAUUAAAGGUCCAAUGGGCUAAGUCAGUUAUAACCGAAGGAAAACUCAAUGGUAAACUAGUAGACGAAGAAAACUAAGACAAGUCGAAAGAUAGAUGUGGCUAAACAGAAAAGAAACCCAAAGAGAAGCUUCACUUGUAGCCCUAAAUCCCACGUUCGAAGGAAUGCACAAACAUUGAAAAUCGACUUUGAAGAACCCAACAAAUGGAUUUUAAAAAUGGUUGAAACCUUUCUGUGAAGAUGCCUGGAUCGCUGGAGGGACCAGAGGCUGUCGCAGGCAGGACUCCAAAAGUUCGCCAGAGAAGGUGGAAGCCCUCUCCAGCCGGAAAGUGAAAGUCGUCACGACAGCUUGAGGGAUGGUGGCAGUGGUUUGCACUGACAGAGAUCAGACCGUGUAGAGGGGAGGCGACAGAGACACGAGUUUGACUCGAGAUAGAGGCGGUGACGGCGUCAUGCGUAGAUCUGGCCGACAACUCGUCGUACGCUUCUGCAGACAAUAAGAUCAUGGAUCUGAUGAACGUAACAAGGAUCUCAACGCGCCAAUGAAGACCUGUUGAGUAGGGUACAACAUGAGCAACAAUUUCGAGAACCUACGAUAAAGAAAAUAGCUCCGGUUUGAAGGUCACAUAGUUGACUUACAGAACCGUCGAUUGAGACGGCGUAAUGUGAUGGAGGCACAACAAUAAUGGAAUAGCUAGUAGAUCUGGCGAGUCAACAAUCUUGCACAAUAGUUCUUUAGCCGCAUAUACGACUCUGUGAAGAACCGUCAUGUUUGAAACAAACAUAGUGUGAUAGAGACGCAGCGAUGACAUAGUGAUCAAAUCUGGCGAAUCCACAUUCUUGCAUAGUAGAUACGGCAAAGAGGAAAGGGGUGGGUAAAACAGGGGACGAGGCGAGGAAGCCGGUGAUGUCAAGAGGCGGAGUGGAAUUGGAGAGGUGGCGAAGACACAGCUCCCGUACAACAAAUGUAUAUGUUAGCUGAACUGGAUUUGAAAUAGGGCUCUCAUAAGCCAGAAUAUGGGCUUGGCCCAACCAAACACAAUCACAAGCAAAGGCAAUAGCUAUAUCGGAGCUUCCUGAUCUGUAGACGGUAGAAGCGCCCAUGUCAAAGUUUACGCCGGUGGUGGGGAAGUUGCGGUGACCAACAGGAGGUGGUCCGACGAAUGGAGUUGGGCCACGGUCGAUGGUCAGAGCAGUUAGCGGGAGUGAUAGAUCUGGUGUUGGAGCUUUAACAGUCCUAACGUAGGAAGAAAAACGGUGACGAAUGCGGUGGGUGGAGAUGGCAUUCCGGGAGCGCAGUGGGUGGAGACAGCGAACGGCAUAGAUGAAGGCAGUGCCGGUCCGGACUUAUCAGGUGCCUAAAGCAUACUUAAAAAAUAUUCUUUUUAAAUAUAUUACUUUUACUAUAUUUUGAAAAAUAAGUAUUAAAAAUAUUAUUAUAUUUUUAAAAUUAACUUUUUAAAAGGAAGAAAAUAUGAAAAACAUAUUUCAUGAUUUUUUUUGGAAAAUCAUUUUUCAGCAUCGAAUAUGAAAAUAUUACAAUAAUUUAUGUUUGUUAGAAUGUCAUUUAAAAAAAAGCUACAGAAACCUAUAAAAGAAAGAGAGGAAAAAAAACCUACAUGACAUAUGCAGCUAUUCAGAUGAAUAUCAAUUAAAACAAACUUAUAAUAUGAAGAAUUGAUCAUUUGAGUUUUUAAUUGCUAUAGUUUCUUUAGCUAUUAGAGCAAGUAUAAGAAAUACACAAAAAGACGUGAAGAAAGUAAAUGUAAUUGUUAUUAAUACAGCAAAAUAAAUAAUUAGGUUUUGUUUAAUUAAUCUCACACUUUUUAAUACAACAUGUAUAAAUAAAGAAACUGUAGUUGUUAGAUUAAAUAACCGUUCCUAUUUGUAUUAAUGAAUAAAUCAGUAGAAUGAAACAGAAUAAUAUAAAAGGACAAAAAUAUUAUUAUAAAAAAAGGAGCAAGACGCAGUUUCGAACUCGUGCCUUAAUACUCAUGUGGACAAUCUAAGAACCACUAACCUAAGGUGAAACUACAAUAAAAAUUUGGCGCCCCUAAAAUAUGUUCAAUUUUUGACGCCUAAAACCCUUACUUUAUUGGCUUUACCCCAGGGCCGGGCCUGGAUGAAGGUGAACAUUGCGAUGGUGCUUGAGUACCACCAGAGCGAGCCUAAACGAAUUGGUAUUGUCGAGGAGGGAAAAAGAUAUGGAGCAGAAUAAAAGGGAACUAGGCUAAAUAAAACAGCGGAGAUGGAAUGAACGAUGAAAAAAGUAAUGAAUUGAGUUGAACAGCGUCGACGCCGGCGAGCCAAGCCGCUGCCGGCAUCGGAGAAAGCUAGCAAAAACGGCGCCUUGGAUUCUGUGCCCGAGAGAGAUUCAAAACUAGGGUAAACCAAAACAUGCAUGCUUUUAUCUUAAAAUAUUGCUAUUGAGCCUCUAAUACGUUUUGAAAAUAAAACAGGAGAGCUGCGUAUUGUUCUAUCUUUACUUGAAUCACUUGGUAUUGGAUUUCCAUGUGACCGCGCUUGUAUUACAUGAUGCACAGAUUAAGCGAUAAUUCUUCCGUUUCUAUUUUAGACUGUCCACCUAACCAAAUUUGAAAAUAUUUAUUUAAUAUUAAAUUAUAUUCAAAAUAAUUAUGCAAUACAUAAAUAUAUAAAUAUAUAAACUAUAAUAUUUCACAAAUAUGAAAUAUAGAUUAACAAUUUGAUCCGGUCUAGAAUCUAGAUCAUGUGGCACUCAGUUUAAGACAAACACAAUAAAUGAGUUUGAGGGGUUUGGUCUGAUCCGGUCAGUUGAGCUAGAUCAGCCAUGAACAAUUUCCAACCAACUUUCUGCAUUUAAUUGAAUCUAGGUUAGUAUAUACUCCAUCCGUAUCAUAAAGAUAUUUUUUAAUGUUUUCACACAUAUUAAGAAAACACAUUAAAUCACUAUAAUAAAUGUAUUAUUUUCUGUAAUUUUCAAUUUUUUAUAAUUUUUAACCAAUAAUAAUUUAAUAAGUCAAUUAAUUUUCUUGAAAAUUACAUUUUUCAUAGAAAAUACAAAAAGCCUAUUUUUGUGAAAUAAUUUUUUUUUAAAACAUCUAACUUAGCGAAAUGGAAAAAGUAGCAAACAACUUAACGAAGAUUAUUGUAUCAAUAGUGUUUCGUAGCAUUCAUUUUUUCAUUGUAUUCAACUGUUCCUUCCUCCACAAGAAAUCCCACGGCCAACCAGUUCUCAAGAACUGGCCUUUCCUCAUAUCUUCGACCGGACCUUCGAAGUUCUUGAGGCCACCAAUCUAACUUUUUCUUUCAAAGGGCUAUGACCAGAUCAUAAUCCUAUUUCUAAUUGGUUUAAGAGAACCAAAUCUAGUUCUAACGGGUUUAAAUAUAUAAUAAACCAAAUACAUUUAAAAUAGACCAAUAUGGUCGUGGCUAAUAUUUUAAGCCAAUCAUAAACCAAGUUGAUUGUCCUUCCACUUUUUAAGUCGAUAAAGACCUUUUUCGACCAACAAUUUAUUGGGCUCGUUCCACUUCAACUCUUGUCUGGACAUUGUUCUUCUAGACCCAUUUGGUUGAUGAAAAUGCACUAUUUUCAACUUUGGAUCUUCAGCUUCCAUUUCUAAUUGUCGACCAUUUCGGCUAGACUAGUCCAUCUCUAGACCAUGCCUGCUUAUGAAUUUCAUUUCCAGUCCUUACAUGUUUCUCUGGCUCAUUUCCUGAUCAAGGAGGUUGCUUAUUGGUCGUCCAUUCUUGUUCAAAGUCCAUGCUUGAUAAAGGCGGUACCAGUGCCCAUACCUUUUCUCGGUUCAAUGCCUUGUGGAUCAAGUUUAGUAGCUUUCCAUAAAGUACAUUAGGACAUGCCUUGACCCAUUACGAGUUGGUUCUUCCAUGAUCUUCAGACCUUUGAAAUUGAGCCUUAUCCAAGUAGCACUAUAUAUAUUAUAAGUUUAAUAUGUUUCUUUUGAUUUAUUCUAGAUUUAAAUUUUGGGAGCGAGAUAGAUUUUCAUGUUGACUCACUAAAAAAUAGAAAUUGAGUUAUUGUUAGAUAAAAUUCUAUCGAUAUGAUUAGAUUUAUAAUAAUCGUUAUUUAAUCAUUUAUAAUAUUAAAUUAAUUCUUAGUUUGUUAUAAAAAUGAGGUCAAAUAUUUUUUUUCUUGAAAUUAUGUUUGACAACUUGAAAUUAAAUAUUUUUUUGAAAAUUAUUUAAAUAACUUUAUAAAUAAAAAAUAUUAUUUUGUCUUAGACAUCUCCAAUGGUUGGCUUCAUUUUAUGCUUCAAAAGUUCACUUUAUUCAAAAUGAAGCAGAUAUAUGAAGCACAUCUUCUCCAAUGGUUUGCUUCAUUUAUUUCUUGUAAAAGAAAUAUUCCAAAUAUAUUUCAUGUCCGCUGUAUGAUUAAUUAUUAAUAACACCUUGUAUUUUUUAAUAUUUACUAGUUUUACCCAACUAUUUUAUUUUUAACAAUAAUCCAACACAGUUAUUAUAGAUUCAACAUUAUCAUAUAAUAAAAUUAUUACACAUAAGAACAACAACAAUACUAGAUAUUAAGUGUUACUUUAUGUUGUAUUAAGUAUUUUAUGUUUAGUUUGGUGUCAUCCAAGCCGCUGCCGGCAUCGGAGAAAGCUAGCAAAAACGGCGCCUUGGAUUCUGUGCCCGAGAGAGAUUCAAAACUAGGGUAAACCAAAACAUGCAUGCUUUUAUCUUAAAAUAUUGCUAUUGAGCCUCUAAUACGUUUUGAAAAUAAAACAGGAGAGCUGCGUAUUGUUCUAUCUUUACUUGAAUCACUUGGUAUUGGAUUUCCAUGUGACCGCGCUUGUAUUACAUGAUGCACAGAUUAAGCGAUAAUUCUUCCGUUUCUAUUUUAGACUGUCCACCUAACCAAAUUUGAAAAUAUUUAUUUAAUAUUAAAUUAUAUUCAAAAUAAUUAUGCAAUACAUAAAUAUAUAAAUAUAUAAACUAUAAUAUUUCACAAAUAUGAAAUAUAGAUUAACAAUUUGAUCCGGUCUAGAAUCUAGAUCAUGUGGCACUCAGUUUAAGACAAACACAAUAAAUGAGUUUGAGGGGUUUGGUCUGAUCCGGUCAGUUGAGCUAGAUCAGCCAUGAACAAUUUCCAACCAACUUUCUGCAUUUAAUUGAAUCUAGGUUAGUAUAUACUCCAUCCGUAUCAUAAAGAUAUUUUUUAAUGUUUUCACACAUAUUAAGAAAACACAUUAAAUCACUAUAAUAAAUGUAUUAUUUUCUGUAAUUUUCAAUUUUUUAUAAUUUUUAACCAAUAAUAAUUUAAUAAGUCAAUUAAUUUUCUUGAAAAUUACAUUUUUCAUAGAAAAUACAAAAAGCCUAUUUUUGUGAAAUAAUUUUUUUUUAAAACAUCUAACUUAGCGAAAUGGAAAAAGUAGCAAACAACUUAACGAAGAUUAUUGUAUCAAUAGUGUUUCGUAGCAUUCAUUUUUUCAUUGUAUUCAACUGUUCCUUCCUCCACAAGAAAUCCCACGGCCAACCAGUUCUCAAGAACUGGCCUUUCCUCAUAUCUUCGACCGGACCUUCGAAGUUCUUGAGGCCACCAAUCUAACUUUUUCUUUCAAAGGGCUAUGACCAGAUCAUAAUCCUAUUUCUAAUUGGUUUAAGAGAACCAAAUCUAGUUCUAACGGGUUUAAAUAUAUAAUAAACCAAAUACAUUUAAAAUAGACCAAUAUGGUCGUGGCUAAUAUUUUAAGCCAAUCAUAAACCAAGUUGAUUGUCCUUCCACUUUUUAAGUCGAUAAAGACCUUUUUCGACCAACAAUUUAUUGGGCUCGUUCCACUUCAACUCUUGUCUGGACAUUGUUCUUCUAGACCCAUUUGGUUGAUGAAAAUGCACUAUUUUCAACUUUGGAUCUUCAGCUUCCAUUUCUAAUUGUCGACCAUUUCGGCUAGACUAGUCCAUCUCUAGACCAUGCCUGCUUAUGAAUUUCAUUUCCAGUCCUUACAUGUUUCUCUGGCUCAUUUCCUGAUCAAGGAGGUUGCUUAUUGGUCGUCCAUUCUUGUUCAAAGUCCAUGCUUGAUAAAGGCGGUACCAGUGCCCAUACCUUUUCUCGGUUCAAUGCCUUGUGGAUCAAGUUUAGUAGCUUUCCAUAAAGUACAUUAGGACAUGCCUUGACCCAUUACGAGUUGGUUCUUCCAUGAUCUUCAGACCUUUGAAAUUGAGCCUUAUCCAAGUAGCACUAUAUAUAUUAUAAGUUUAAUAUGUUUCUUUUGAUUUAUUCUAGAUUUAAAUUUUGGGAGCGAGAUAGAUUUUCAUGUUGACUCACUAAAAAAUAGAAAUUGAGUUAUUGUUAGAUAAAAUUCUAUCGAUAUGAUUAGAUUUAUAAUAAUCGUUAUUUAAUCAUUUAUAAUAUUAAAUUAAUUCUUAGUUUGUUAUAAAAAUGAGGUCAAAUAUUUUUUUUCUUGAAAUUAUGUUUGACAACUUGAAAUUAAAUAUUUUUUUGAAAAUUAUUUAAAUAACUUUAUAAAUAAAAAAUAUUAUUUUGUCUUAGACAUCUCCAAUGGUUGGCUUCAUUUUAUGCUUCAAAAGUUCACUUUAUUCAAAAUGAAGCAGAUAUAUGAAGCACAUCUUCUCCAAUGGUUUGCUUCAUUUAUUUCUUGUAAAAGAAAUAUUCCAAAUAUAUUUCAUGUCCGCUGUAUGAUUAAUUAUUAAUAACACCUUGUAUUUUUUAAUAUUUACUAGUUUUACCCAACUAUUUUAUUUUUAACAAUAAUCCAACACAGUUAUUAUAGAUUCAACAUUAUCAUAUAAUAAAAUUAUUACACAUAAGAACAACAACAAUACUAGAUAUUAAGUGUUACUUUAUGUUGUAUUAAGUAUUUUAUGUUUAGUUUGGUGUCAUCAAUCAUGUAUUCACUUUUAUAUUAAUAAUUUAAUGUUAUCUUUCAUUUAAUAUAUGUUUUAAAAUAUUUAGUAUCAUAAAUUAAAUAAAUUUAUAUAAUAAAUAAAUAAAAAAAAUUAAUUGGGUUAUAUUUAUUAAUAUAGUUUAUUUUGUCAAAAAAUAAAAACAAAAAAAAGUUAAGAACCAAUUUAUAAUUUAGAAAGUUCAGCUUAAAAAAUGAAGCAAUGAACAGUAUAAUUUAGAAAGUUCAGCUUAGAAAGUUUAGCUUAAUGGGGUAUCACUUUCCACAUUUAUAUUUAAUUUUAGACACAAGUACGUAUUGUUUCACAACUGUUACCAAAGUAACCGAAAUAAAAGCUUCAAUUUAAUUAGAUAAAAAGAUAGUACCGAUUAGUUAGCUAUGAUUUUUGAGUUAUGCGUUACUGUUCAAGACAAAAAUGUAAAUGAGUUUGAGAGUUCGGUCCGACACCGUCAGUUGAGUCAGGUCAGCCAGCAACAUAUUUUCCCACCAACAUUCUGCUUUUAAUUGAAUAUCGGCUAUAUAUAGGAAACCAACUAAACUAAGAUUUUUGUAUCCAUACUCAUAAAUACAUUUGUUUAAAAAUGGGGAUGAUAGGCUUACUUGAAGUCUUCGCAGCAUUCCUUUUUUUCCUAGUAUUCAAACAUUUCUUCCUCCACAAGAAAUCUCCCGGCCAGCCUAUUAUCAAAAGCUGGCCUGUCCUCGGGAUGCUUCCAGGAAUGCUCCCCCAUAUCCCUCGUAUCUUUGAGUGGACGUUCGAAGUUCUUGAGGCCACCAACUUAACUUUUUUCUUCAAAGGCCCGUGGCUUAGUGGAACUGACAUGCUAUUCACUGCCGACCCAAGG
Molecule: long non-coding RNA, 14777 nt
Filed under: Brassica napus (rape)
Lineage: Eukaryota; Viridiplantae; Streptophyta; Magnoliopsida; Brassicales; Brassicaceae
Description: long non-coding RNA (BNAP_LNC007588)
Source: RNAcentral